CUCGUGGUCCAUGCCUCAGCAUUUCUUGGGGUCACCCUCGAACCCUCAAUCCAUUGUUAUUCUGCCAUCUUUCUUUGUCAUGUGACCAGAGCACUAGCUCUAUGCUAAGUGGUGCAUAAUCCUUUCCCUCUUGCACAUGGACCUCAACGAGCUCCUCACACACACUCCCGAGAGCCUUUUGCAAGCUUUCUCCUUUGCUAUACACAGCACCAUACUCCAACUGGCAGGUGUUUUUGUCCAAACACUGAGAAGCAGCAGGAGAGAGCAGAGCAUCUAACUGUCUCCUAGCAGUUUUAUUAUUCAAUCUGGUGAACAGUGGAUUUAGUUGUCUCUUUUGUCUUAUUCUAAACAUACCCAAAGACACCUCAUCUGCUGAUCUUUCUAAGAAGGCCUUGGAGCUGGUGGAAGUCCACCCAAUACACUUGUCCCACUGAAGACUAAUUUGAAAUGCUAGGCUGUGCCCCUGUGCAUGUGGAUUAGGAAGGUGGCUGGCAUGAUCUGUGUUGAUGGUCCCCAAGUCCCAUUAUGAAGUCUUCCGACUCAAGUUACUCUAAAAUCUACUUUUAAAUCUGGAGGGCACUAUGAGGAGUUUCCACUAAUCCAGCAGUACUGGGCUCUUCCCAUGGUUGUGAAGGCUCACAGGGUGCAUUUUAUAUCUGGGUCUAGUUGGUUGUUGGUUACCGUGUGGAUGGGGCAGUGUUCCCUGAUUGGAUCAUUUCAUUUUGCUUGGGUCUGUGGCCACGGGCUGAGAUCCCAUUUACAACCAACCAUCUCCCAAUUUCAUGCUGUUAAUUAAAAAAAAAAAAAAUACUUGGGUGUUCACACCCAUUGCCUCCAUAAGAUAAAGGUCUCAAAGUGAAUAUUCUACAGGCAGUUCCUCAGCAGUACCAAUGUCACAUGCAGCAGACAACACAUUUUCCAGCGUUCACUAAAAAAUAUGCAUGCUGAGACUUAAUGCCAAGAGUAGGUAGACUGAGGACUUAUCUCCUUUCAGACACUCACUCCCUCCAUGUGGCUGCCACUCUGUCCCUCCUUACUCCCUCCCAAACUCCAUUUUCAAGGCAGCUAUGAUAUAGUAGUAGGCACCUCAAAAGUCCAUGGGCAUUGAUCAUCCUUAGUGUCCUUGUCUGGGCACAAAAAUCAGAUGUAGUCAUUCUUGAGGUGACUUUUAAACUGGAGUGUCAGGAAACAAAAUCCUCCUAUCUGCUUACAGUUGGAAAUUUCCAAUUCCUUUUCAGCUGGCCUCCUAAAUCCACAGUUAAUGGGCUACUUGACGGCUAAAUUUAAUUUUAAUCCUUCGUUCUCUUCCACAGAACAGGGGCACUGGAUGACCUGUCUGGCUCAGUGGUAAAUGGGUCUUCUUUGCAUGAAGCAGGACUUCGUCCACUUUUUUUGCCUCCAAGAUUAAUGUGCAGUCACUGCUUCCUUUGGAAGACUCCCCUUUCAGUUUGAAAAGAGGGAAGUUCUGUCAAGAAAGAAGACCCAUAGGCAACGCUGGAGGUUUGAGGGGACUGCCUCAGACACAGGCAG
This 1530-nucleotide long non-coding RNA is filed under the name Homo sapiens (human). RNAcentral's name for it is "HSALNT0018361". The record is from RNAcentral. Lineage: Eukaryota; Metazoa; Chordata; Mammalia; Primates; Hominidae.